This 497-nucleotide ribosomal RNA is filed under the name uncultured bacterium. Its description in RNAcentral is "partial 16S ribosomal RNA". It matches the Rfam family "Bacterial small subunit ribosomal RNA", at positions 28 to 507 of the family's 1533-position model. The record is from RNAcentral.
GAUGAACGCUGGCGGCGUGCCUAAUACAUGCAAGUCGAGCGAACGGACGAGAAGCUUGCUUCUCUGAUGUUAGCGGCGGACGGGUGAGUAACACGUGGAUAACCUACCUAUCAGACUGGGAUAAUUUCGGGAAACCGGAGCUAAUACCGGAUAAUAUUUUGAACCGCAUGGUUCAAAAGUGAAAGACGGUCUUGCGGUCACUUAUAGAUGGAUCCGCGCUGCAUUAGCUAGUUGGUAAGGUAACGGCUUACCAAGGCAACGAGGCAUAGCCGACCUGAGAGGGUGAUCGCCCACACUGGAGCUGGGACACGGUCCAGGCUCCUACGGGAGGCAGCAGUAGGGAAUCUUCCGCAGAGGUGGAAAGCCUGACGGAGCAAGGCCGCGUGAGUGAUGAAGGUCUUCGGAUCGUAAAGCUCUGUUAUUAGGGAAGAACAUAUGUGUAAGUAACUGUGCACAUCUUGACGGUACCUAAUCAGAAAGCCCCGGCUAACUACGUG